UACGAAGGGGGCUAGCGUUGUUCGGAAUCACUGGGCGUAAAGCGCACGCAGGCGGAUUGAUAAGUCAGGGGUGAAAUCCCGGGGCUCAACCUCGGAAUUGCCUUUGAUACUGUCUGUCUUGAGUCCGGGAGAGGUGAGUGGAAUUCCUAGUGUAGAGGUGAAAUUCGUAGAUAUUAGGAAGAACACCAGUGGCGAAGGCGGCUCACUGGCCCGGUACUGACGCUCAUGUGCGAAAGCGUGGGUAGCAAACGGG
RNAcentral lists this ribosomal RNA (253 nucleotides) under uncultured bacterium. RNAcentral describes it as "partial 16S ribosomal RNA". It matches the Rfam family "Bacterial small subunit ribosomal RNA", at positions 524 to 776 of the family's 1533-position model. The record is from RNAcentral.